This 234-nucleotide long non-coding RNA is filed under the name Elaeis guineensis (African oil palm). RNAcentral's name for it is "long non-coding RNA (EGUI_LNC079495)". Lineage: Eukaryota; Viridiplantae; Streptophyta; Magnoliopsida; Arecales; Arecaceae. The record is from RNAcentral.
UAGGGGUAAAGAGAGAAAAAUUGGUGAGCGUCUUCUUUCAGGUAUGCGUUUCACUUUUCUUUCCUAACUAGCUACCAAGCUUAGGUUCCUGGAUUUUUGUACCACUAAAAAAAAAAAAUAGGCCCUUCUAUGGAAGACACAUUGGAAACCAGAUGAAGGCAACUGGCUCAAUAUCAUUAGAUUACAUUCUGCUUGGCUCCCUAAUAACAAUGUAGCCACUUCUCUUUUCUGUUU